RNAcentral lists this ribosomal RNA (450 nucleotides) under uncultured organism. RNAcentral describes it as "partial 16S ribosomal RNA". It matches the Rfam family "Bacterial small subunit ribosomal RNA", at positions 334 to 800 of the family's 1533-position model. The record is from RNAcentral.
CACUCCUGCGGGAGGCAACAGUGGGGAAUAUUGGACCAUGGGCGCAAGCCUGAUCCAGCCAUGCCGCGUGAGUGAUGAAGGCCCUAGGGUUGUAAAGCUCUUUCACCGGUGAAGAUAAUGACGGUAACCGGAGAAGAAGCCCCGGCUAACUUCGUGCCAGCAGCCGCGGUAAUACGAAGGGGGCUAGCGUUGUUCGGAUUUACUGGGCGUAAAGCGCACGUAGGCGGACUAUUAAGUCAGGGGUGAAAUCCCGGGGCUCAACCCCGGAACUGCCUUUGAUACUGGUAGUCUUGAGUUCGAGAGAGGUGAGUGGAAUUCCGAGUGUAGAGGUGAAAUUCGUAGAUAUUCGGAGGAACACCAGUGGCGAAGGCGGCUCACUGGCUCGAUACUGACGCUGAGGUGCGAAAGCGUGGGGAGCAAACAGGAUUAGAAACCCGAGUAGUCCCAUGA